AGAGAGGAGCAGGUUAGAGUAUAGCUAAUAGUAGAGAGGAGCAGGUUAGAGUAUAGCUAACAGUGGAGAGAAGCAGGUUAGAGUACAGAAGGUUAGAGUAUACCUAACAGCAGCGAGGAGCAGGUUAGAGUAUAGAAGGUUAGAGUAUAGCUAACAGCAGCGAGGAGCAGGUUAGAGUAUAGAAGGUUAGAGUAUAAAUAACAGCAUCGAGGAGCAGGUUAGACUAUAGCUAACGGUGGAGAGAAGCAGGUUAGAGUAUAGCUAACAGUAGAGAGGAGCAGGUUAGAGUAUAGCUAACAGUAGAGAGGAGCAGGUUAGAGUAUAGCAGGAUGGGUAUAGCUAACA
Salmo salar (Atlantic salmon) is the source of this 345-nucleotide non-coding RNA. Lineage: Eukaryota; Metazoa; Chordata; Actinopteri; Salmoniformes; Salmonidae. The record is from RefSeq and is a predicted model, not a curated record.